Molecule: long non-coding RNA, 516 nt
Filed under: Homo sapiens (human)
Lineage: Eukaryota; Metazoa; Chordata; Mammalia; Primates; Hominidae
Description: non-protein coding lnc-ALAD-1:1
Source: RNAcentral
GUGGUGAUUGCGCCCCUGCACUCUAGCAUGGGAAACAGCGUGAGACCCUAUCUCAAAACCAAAACAAAACAAAAAAAUGGCUGGGCCAGUUCCCAUCAUCAGGUCCUCUUUCCAGCCAGCAGGAAGAGAAGAGCAAAUGGAGGGCAUGACCCUUCUUUAUAAAGUCAUGACCCAAAAGUUGCACACAUCAUUUCUGUCUACACACCCUUGUCUCAAAUUAGUCACAUGGUCAUGCCCAGUUGUAAGGGAGGCUGGAAAUAGUCUAGUGGGCCAGCCAUAUGCUCAACUAAAACUCGGGAGUUCAGUUACUAAGGAAGAUGGAGAGAAUGGAUAGUAAGGCAAAUGGCCAUUUUUACCUAAUGGAGGUUCUUGGGAUCACAGAAACAGUGGUCAGAAUAUUAAAGAAAAAAGAUCCUUAGAGACUAUCUAGUUAAACACUCUGAUUUUAUAGAUGGGGAGACAGACCCAGAGAGGUGACCUGUCCAAAAUUAGACAGCAAUCUAGUCAGUGGCAGAC